RNAcentral lists this non-coding RNA (31 nucleotides) under Rattus norvegicus (Norway rat). Lineage: Eukaryota; Metazoa; Chordata; Mammalia; Rodentia; Muridae. The record is from RNAcentral.
UCUCAAAGCCAUACUCAAAGGGUUGGUUAGC